This is an RNA transcript of Tachysurus fulvidraco (yellow catfish), 2004 nucleotides long. It is a transcript of the gene named serine/threonine-protein kinase pim-3-like, with no coding region annotated. The transcript has 9 exons. The record is from RefSeq and is a predicted model, not a curated record. NCBI's taxonomy places the organism in Eukaryota, Metazoa, Chordata, Actinopteri, Siluriformes, Bagridae.
UUUGGAACGCUGUUCACGUGUGCAAUUUCAUUCGCGAAGAAACAGCUGCCGACACGUAUGGAAAACCCUUCGUCAACAAAAAGCUCACUAUCAGUUGAGGACAACUCAGAGGCAUCCUGUUCUUUCACUACAGGAGAAAAUGAUGAGAACCCUCGAAAGAGAAAAGCGGUGGAUGAAGAACCUGAGCCCCAGGCUGAGGAGCCACCGGCAAAAAAGAGGACAAAGACAGAAACAAAGUUUGAGAAGAGGCUGGCAAAAUCACGCCCUGAAGGAAGAGUCAACCCUUUCAGAUUAGUUAAGCAUUACAUUAUUGGAGAGAUGUUGGGAAAUGGAUCCUUUGGUAACGUCUAUGCAGCCGAUCGGAAAUCAGAUGGGAAAAAGGUGGCAAUUAAGUGUGUUCUAAAGAAAGUGUUGGACUAUAUAACCCUUCCAGGUAGCAAUGACAUUCUUCCUCUUGAGGUGGCACUGUUGAACCUUGUGUGCAAGCCACCUCGCUGCCCCUAUGUUAUAAGUCUGUUGGAGUGGUUUGAGACGCCCGCAGACGUGAUCUACAUCCUGGAGCGGCCUGACAACUGCACUGACCUCUAUAAGUACUGUCAAAAAUUACAGUACAGAAUGCCUGAAGCUCAUGUUAAACAAAUCAUGCAGCAAGUAGUUCAGGCUACAUGUCACUGCAAGGACCGUGGUGUCUUCCACAGAGACAUUCAAUUAAGCAACGUUCUCCUCAACACCCAGACCUUGGAAGUAAAGCUAACUGAUUUUGGCCUUGGUUGCCUGCGUCAGGGCUUCCUUUAUUCAGAUUGUAGAGUUAUCUACCCAUCAAGAUGGAUCUCACUUAAUGAGAGCAUGCAGGAAUUAAGCAUUGUCAAGCAGCUGGGUUAUUUCUUACAUUGCCUGUCAGGUGGAAAAUGGUGUCCUGGAAAGCUGAUAUUUUCCAAGAAUUUGUCUGAAGCAUGCUGCAGUCUCAUAAAAUGGUGUUUAGAUAAGGAGCCUGGAAAACGGCCAACCCUCGAGCAGCUCCUCACUCAUGAAUGGUUCUGAAGCCAGCUGUUCAAAAGGGAAAAAAACAAAGAAAAUGCAGCUAAGGUUGGUGAGAAUCUCUUCAGUAUGUUUAUACAGGUCAGCGUAGCAGAUUCAACAGCAAACUGUGCAAGGUGCAGCAAAGGGGAAAACCACUUGACCUGGUUUGGGGUUUGUGACACACCCUCCUGAGUAAGCAAUACAGAGGAUCAAUCGAACCCAGCGGAAACUAGAUGGAAGAGUGGAGACCACCAUGAAGCCUCAGCAUGCACAUAAGUGCUGUCCUGUUAAAUAAAAUAAGUGCACAGUAUAGGCUAAGGGAGACCCACUCAGCCAACACUAGGUUUGGUAAAAGGCUACACAGAUUGGGAGCUUUUUUCUACAUUCGUAAUAUUUGUACUGUUGUGCACUUUUAAAAUUCUUUAUUAUUAUUAUUACUAUUAUUAUUAUUAUUCAUUCAUUCAUUAAAUAAUUUUCUACCACUUUCCCAAACUUAUUAAUAUUAUUAUAAGUUCGGAUAAGUGGUAGAAAACUAAUGAAUGAAUUAAUAUUAAUAAUAAUAAUAAUGUGAUGCAAAUUUCUACAUUUUCUGUACAUUUUGCUGUGAAUUGGAUGAACUCAAAACAAUUUAGCAAUUUUCACUUAGUCCAUUUUUUUUUGGGAAAUCACCAAAAUAUCUAAUCAUAUUAGAAGGUGGAAAAAAAUCUACCUACUUGUAAAUACAGGAGUUAUGACCAAGCAUUUAAUAUUGUUUGUACCAAACCUUUCACUACCUCAUCAGUACGAGUUAAUCUGGCUUUAUUCAAGCCGAGGGAACGUCGGAUGCUGCGAGACUGAAGUGUGUUCACGUGUGAUUUUUGGUAUCGGAAGCAUCUUUGAUUUUAUUAAAUCAUCUGGACACAAGACAAUCACAAAUGGGAAGGAAACUAAGAAUUUAUUUAUCAAGUGCAAUGCUUAAAAAAUAAAAACACUCAAUGUACUGUA